UCAGCCCUAAACUCCGCCAUCUUUAUUCAAGAACAAACCCUAAUUUCCGGCGAAUCUUCCUACUGUCACUCUCUGAUGGAUCCAAAGACAGUGAAUUUUCACGCGAUUUAAUGGUGGCACGGGCACGAAAAUGUGCGUGCCGAAAAGCGGAAUGUGAUGUCGUGGAUAACGGCUGUUGAGAGACGUUUCUGUUCAAAAAGAGUAAAAUUGGUG
Molecule: long non-coding RNA, 213 nt
Filed under: Nicotiana benthamiana
Lineage: Eukaryota; Viridiplantae; Streptophyta; Magnoliopsida; Solanales; Solanaceae
Description: long non-coding RNA (NBEN_LNC041570)
Source: RNAcentral